This 460-nucleotide ribosomal RNA is filed under the name uncultured bacterium. RNAcentral describes it as "partial 16S ribosomal RNA". It matches the Rfam family "Bacterial small subunit ribosomal RNA", at positions 338 to 795 of the family's 1533-position model. The record is from RNAcentral.
CCUACGGGAGGCAGCAGUGAGGAAUAUUGGUCAAUGGACGAGAGUCUGAACCAGCCAAGUAGCGUGAAGGAUGACUGCCCUAUGGGUUGUAAACUUCUUUUAUAUGGGAAUAAAACGUUCCACGUGUGGGAUUUUGUAUGUACCAUAUGAAUAAGGAUCGGCUAACUCCGUGCCAGCAGCCGCGGUAAUACGGAGGAUCCGAGCGUUAUCCGGAUUUAUUGGGUUUAAAGGGAGCGUAGGUGGAUUGUUAAGUCAGUUGUGAAAGUUUGCGGAUCAACCGGAAAAUUGCAGUUGAAACUGGCAGUCUUGAGUACAGUAGAGGUGGGCGGAAUUCGUGGUGUAGCGGUGAAAUGCUUAGAUAUCACGAAGAACUCCGAUUGCGAAGGCAGUUCACUGGACUGCAACUGACACUGAGGCUCGAAAGUGUGGGUAUCAAACAGGAUUAGAUACCCUGGUAGUC